This 818-nucleotide long non-coding RNA is filed under the name Mustela putorius furo (domestic ferret). Its description in RNAcentral is "lncRNA (ENSMPUG00000027161.1)". The record is from RNAcentral. Lineage: Eukaryota; Metazoa; Chordata; Mammalia; Carnivora; Mustelidae.
AGAGGACUCCUCCAUCAUUCUCUCUUGAGAGUAAGCUGUCCCAAGGGCUAUGUGUUCUAUUCUGCCUCUCUAUGCCACAAGGGACACAGGAAACUGGUCCCACCUGCUCCUAGGACUGGGUGGUGAAGGAAGGGAUUAGCAUUAUUGGCCCACCCAACCCAAUCCAGAGGACAGCGAUGUGGUUGAGUAGAAAAACAACAUUCUAGACAAGAAAAACAACAGUCCGACAUCAGGACUGGAGAGGUGACCACAGAGUGGCUCCAGCUGCAUGUGCGACAUUCCAACCUCACCUUGGAACUCCCAGAGAGAUGCAAAAAAAGAAGGUCUGAGUAAGCCACCUGGCAGGUGAGGACUGGUAAUAGAGCAGAUUCAGGGGCCAACUCUUGAAGUGACUCAACUUGGUCCCAUCAGCUAGAGCAGUGAAGGGAAGAUGUGGGCUGUAGACCUCAUCGGCUACUUGAUGGGGCUGCGGAGAUUAACAAGCACCAGACAGACAUGGCUUCUUCCAGUGAGGCUCUCUCCAUCCUGUUGGAGGUGUGAGUGUUAAAUACAUGUAAACCUGAAACAGUAGCUUAACAACAGAGGCCAGCUGCCAGCAAAAUCAUUGCCUGCCACCUGACUGAUACUCUAUAAAAAUUUGUCAAAUGCAUAACCAAAUGAAUAACCACCUCUAACCAAAUGAUCGAUUGGAUUUGAACCCUUCAGAAUGGACAAGGAGCAAGUUGGGUGCACCCUCUCCCCAGAAAAACAAGUUCUCCGGUGAAAAUGAUAAGCAGCCAUCCUCUAAAAUCUCUGAAAAUCGUCCUAAGGGGAAACAG